ACUCCUACGGGAGGCAGCAGUAGGGAAUAUUGCACAAUGGGCGAAAGCCUGAUCCAGCAAUGCCGCGUGUGUGAAGAAGGCCUGCGGGUUGUAAAGCACUUUCAGUUGGGAAGAUUAUGACGUUACCAACAGAAGAAGCACCGGCUAACUCCGUGCCAGCAGCCGCGGUAAU
Molecule: ribosomal RNA, 172 nt
Filed under: uncultured bacterium
Lineage: Bacteria
Description: partial 16S rRNA
Rfam family: Bacterial small subunit ribosomal RNA
Source: RNAcentral